AGCUUUGUGCAGUGGCAGUAUCGUAGCCAAUGAGGUUUAUCUGAGGCGCAAUUAUUGCUAAUUGAAAACUUUUCCCAAAGAUCUUAAUGCAUAUUAUCAAAUUGCCAAAUUAAAAAUUUGCUCUCAUAUAUGG
Molecule: small nuclear RNA, 133 nt
Organism: Vulpes vulpes (red fox)
Lineage: Eukaryota; Metazoa; Chordata; Mammalia; Carnivora; Canidae
Gene: U4
Rfam family: U4 spliceosomal RNA
About the family: U4 small nuclear RNA (U4 snRNA) is a component of the major U2-dependent spliceosome.
Source: Ensembl